This 529-nucleotide ribosomal RNA is filed under the name Pareronia valeria (common wanderer). RNAcentral's name for it is "partial 16S ribosomal RNA". The stretch from base 395 to 529 matches the Rfam family "Bacterial large subunit ribosomal RNA", at positions 2473 to 2608 of the family's 2925-position model. Lineage: Eukaryota; Metazoa; Arthropoda; Insecta; Lepidoptera; Pieridae. The record is from RNAcentral.
AAAAACAUGUCUUUUUGAAAAUAAUAUAAAGUCUAAUCUGCCCACUGAAAUUAUUUUAAAGGGCUGCAGUAUAUUGACUGUACAAAGGUAGCAUAAUCAAUAGUCUUUUAAUUGAAGACUUGUAUGAAUGAUUUAAUGAAAUAUAAACUGUCUCUUUAUUAAAAUUAGAAUUUAAUUUUUUAGUCAAAAAGCUAAAAUAAAUUUAAAAGACGAGAAGACCCUAUAGAGUUUUAUAUUUUUUAGUAUUUUAAUUUUAUAUAAAAUUUUAAAUUAAAAUAUUAAUAAAUAUUUUAUUGGGGUGAUAUAAAAAUUAAAAUAACUUUUUAAAAAAUUAAACAUUAAUUUAUGAGUAUUUGAUCCAUAAUUUAUGAUUAAAAGAAAAAAUUACCUUAGGGAUAACAGCGUUAUUUUUUCUUUUAGUUCAAAUAAAAGUUAAAGUUUGCGACCUCGAUGUUGGAUUAAGAUAAAAUUUAAAAGCAAAAUUUUAAAAUUUUGAUCUGUUCGAUCAUUAAAAUCUUACAUGAUCUGA